CGAUCAGUAACUGGUGUGAGAGCACGACCAGUCACACGGGCACUGAGACACGGGCCCGACUCCUACGGGAGGCAGCAGUAAGGAAUAUUGGUCAAUGGACGCAAGUCUGAACCAGCCAUGCCGCGUGAAGGAUGAAGGUCCUCUGGAUUGUAAACUUCUUUUAUGUGGGACGAAAACUUCUUUUCUAAGAAGACUGACGGUACCAUAGGAAUAAGCACCGGCUAACUCCGUGCCAGCAGCCGCGGUAAUACGGAGGGUGCAAGCGUUAUCCGGAUUCACUGGGUUUAA
This 288-nucleotide ribosomal RNA is filed under the name Nostoc sp. HG1. Its description in RNAcentral is "partial 16S ribosomal RNA". It matches the Rfam family "Bacterial small subunit ribosomal RNA", at positions 277 to 563 of the family's 1533-position model. Lineage: Bacteria; Bacillati; Cyanobacteriota; Cyanophyceae; Nostocales; Nostocaceae. The record is from RNAcentral.